GAAGCAUACAUAUGGUGAGGGA
RNAcentral lists this non-coding RNA (22 nucleotides) under Arabidopsis thaliana (thale cress). The record is from RNAcentral. Lineage: Eukaryota; Viridiplantae; Streptophyta; Magnoliopsida; Brassicales; Brassicaceae.